UGUUGUGGUGAGCUCCUAACUUCAUGCUCGCCCGAAGGCAAUCUUGUAGAGCAAUGUUUUUGAGCAUGUUUUACAUAUUUUUUUAACCUAUUCAUCUUAGCUUUGACUUGAUUUUUUGAGAAAUAGCGAAAACAAUUUGGAAUUGGCACAUGAUCAGCUCAACUGAACUUUCUUUGUGAUUCAAAUAGGUGACGUCGCAACAUUUUUUUUUAAUUUUAUCAUUUUAAGGUCAACACGUCAGGUCAGAAUUGUAAAUCAUGCUUGAAGAACUAGUUCCCAGCCUACUUUAGUGCUUGAAGAAUCUAGUUCUCGGCAUACUUAAGUUUGAUUGGCUACCAUAAUAGAUUCUAGACCAGGCAGAAGUUCAAAUUACUCAUUACUAUAGAGAAGCCAAUCAGGUGGCUGAUCUUCUUGCCAAAAAAGCUGCAAACAGUGGCAAUAGCUCAUAGCCUCAUACUACUACACAUUCCAGCAAUUGCCUAGAGAAGCUAAGGGUCCUUUUCACGUGGAUAAAUGACAGUUGCCUAGCAUAAGAAGUAGAUUUGACAAAGCCACUUUUUUGUAAGUUAAUGUAUUUUCUUUCCUCAUGGAAGAGAAGCUGCAUAUGAUUAGCUCUUUCAUGAGUUUUUUGAAGGCUGUUUCAGCUGCAGUCCAGUGCAUAUGGAAGGUCAGGUAUAUGGGCCCCCUUCUCUUUUGUCAUCUUUACCUUCUAUAUACAUGGUAGGGGUCAAGCCAAACCCCCAACACCUCCGGAUCCUUUCCCUGGCUGAUGGCUUUCAAUUAAAAAAAAGACUACCAUAAUAGAGGAACAUAACUAUCUCCACAAUGAAUUCAAUUCCCACUUGUGAGCACUGAACUGUUUCUGUUUUCUGGUAAAGGGGGACAUGCCUUCGCUUGGCUCACAAUUUCAGCAAGCCUGUCCCUCCACUGCCCCCCAAUAAAAGCAAAGAUAAAUUUCUGACAUGACAAUGAAUUUUCUUAUGCAGUAUCACAAAUUGGCAGCAGAAGCUUUUUACUUGAUGGCCAUUGUAUAUGACAAGCUGGGGAAGCUGGACCACAAGGAAGAAGCAGCUUAUUCAUUUAGGAAACACAUCACUGCUCUUGAAAGCUCUGAUAUUGAAGAUCCUCUUCAAUAUUGUUGCUAAGAACCAGUAUUUUACGUAAAUAUGCCCUUGGCAGCUGGCAAAUCCGUGUUCGACCACCUCAUACAUGCUUUUUUACAGCUUCAUUCAUGCACCAUGAGAAGCAUUCUAAAUUUCUAAUGGAACACCCAUGUGGACAUUGAUUGUGAUAUAAUCAUAUAAAGGCAGUGAAGAUAUCAUGGAUGUGGUGGCUUUCCGAUUGCAAUAUUAGAAACGCCUCAAAUUUCUGGGCAAGUGUAUCGUCACUAUCCUCCAAUAUCAGAUUGAGGCACAUUUUUGUUGUUGAUGGUGGUUGAGUAACAUUAGCGCUAGAUGGCCAUGCUAUACCAGUUAGAGUGUACCAACACUUUUGAGUAUGAUUGUUGGAAGAUUACCAUGAUUUUGUUGGCCCGUUUGCGAGGCCGAAAAGGCUAAGGCUAAAUGAUUACUCGGGGGUGUUGAACUAGAUGUCCACAAUCACUGAUCGGGAGAUAGAGAUCUAAAGAAGCGUCCUGAAGAGAUUGUCUAGGAUUGUAGUUAUGCUUUAGAGGAAAAGAUCUCCGUCGAUCAUCAAACUGUACAUGAAUUUGGCCAAAGACUAACAAGAUGCAACGACCCUUUUUCACUGCUUCAUAAAUUGAGCUUUCAAUGGCCAUUCUUUCAUAAUCCCAUGUUCCAAGAAGAGUUAGUUUUAUGAAAUGUGCAAGUACAGAGAUAUUGCAUCACUAUUACGGCAUAUUGUGCCAAUGAAUGCCCCUGAUUCGUUGCUUUUCACAUUCAAUGUUCUUGGAAGCUUGUGUUGAAACUUUGCCUUUUACAACAACGGAGAUAGUUCCAUAUGGAUGGUUGAAAUUGGUGCAAAUUCUCUCUGUUGCGAAACGUAUGGUGUCCCAACUCUACUAAGCUGUUCAAGUUUUGUGGGAUGCAAAUGUUUAAUGUUCAUGCCUAUUAUUUUAUUCUAGGGAUAAUUUUAGAGUUACUUCGUAACACUAACUUUUUACGUGAUUUACGAUAUUAAUUUUACCUCCGUUAUUUUAUGUUA
This is a non-coding RNA of Nicotiana tabacum (common tobacco), 2163 nucleotides long. NCBI's taxonomy places the organism in Eukaryota, Viridiplantae, Streptophyta, Magnoliopsida, Solanales, Solanaceae. The record is from RefSeq and is a predicted model, not a curated record.